Cavia porcellus (domestic guinea pig) is the source of this 2246-nucleotide long non-coding RNA. RefSeq lists it as uncharacterized. NCBI's taxonomy places the organism in Eukaryota, Metazoa, Chordata, Mammalia, Rodentia, Caviidae. The record is from RefSeq and is a predicted model, not a curated record. The transcript is spliced from 2 exons.
AAAGAUGCCUCCUAAAACUCCAGGCAAAGUGGAACUGGUUUUGGGCUUUCUAUUUCUGUCUGUAUCACUGACUUGCUGUGCAAACUCUGACCAUUUAGUUCCCUGGCGGGUUCCUCUGUUUGUCCUCUGGCGAAAUCAAGCCAAAUCCUUUUGUCAAGAGCCUUUGCACCUAUGGGGAGUGAGAGGAGACAGCUGCUGAAGCUUACUGGAGGGCCUGGCAUGCCUGCAUCAGGUGUUCUUCAUCAGUGGAGACUCUGAAGGAGCCAAGGGGCAGUAAACAAGAGCUCUGAAAAGGGAAGGAAGCCAGGAGAAAGCCAGCUCCAUUAGUCACGCAGCUGCAUAUCCUGUCACAAAGGACCCCAGUUGAGUAAUCACCCAAAAUAUGCCUGUUAUUUUUUUUCUGUCACCAAAAAAAAAAAGAGUGAGGCCUUCAAAAAUGUACUGUAAAAAAAGAAGAGAGAAAGAGAAAAAAAAAAAAAAGAAACUGGUCUCUGAGCCCCAGAGGGAAAGGGAAAUAAAGAACAAACAGGCGUAGCUUCUCAGCGCUUGCUAACCCUCUCUCCGACUUGUCUUUAAAAGAAAACAUUUUCCAACUGUUCACGGCCAUGAAACCCACCAGGCCUGGAGGAAGCUGGCUUCGUGGGACAUUUGAGAGUUCUUGGAGAUAUGCGGUGCCUGGUACUGAGACAGACAGCAGCAGUAGGAGACAGUGGAAGGGAGCAGUGUGGAGACAGGAGGGAACAUUAACAGGAAAGGGCCAGGCUAGUGAACAAGUCCUUUGAUGGCCCUUACAUGCACAGCUUCCCUACGAGCAUCAGAGGAGCCCAGCAGGGGUCAUGGACAUCAGCCAGAGGCCAAGUCUGCUUUGUCCUAACCUUUCCUGAUGGCCUCAACAAAACGGACAUCAUCUCAGGCCUCAGCCUUGACAGUGGCGUUUGAGUCACAGAUGAAGGACAGUGGGUUUGACUCCAGGGCAGUCUGAAGAGCAGGACCUGGGAAGGACAAGCUGGUCAGAGCUGCCUACAACUGCAAAUAUUUUCCUAGAUGAAGCUUCCCAAACCCCAGGAUGUCGGGCUUCUAGUGAGGAAACUGAGACACAGAAGGGAGUCCUGUCCAGUCACUGCCACUGUCCCAUCCUUCUAGUCCUCUGAUUCUCAGGACCAGGCCUUGGAGGGGAGGGCUUGGUCCAAGUCCAGAGUGUUCUUGGAAAGUCAUGCUUUCCUUCCCACUAACAUUUUGAUCCAAUCAGAGCUAUCCCCAGGGAAAGGGGCUUUUAGUUCCCAAUUGAACAAAAAGUAACAGGAAGCCUCCUCCCUAAGAAAGAAAAUCGGAGACUACUUAGGGGGAGCAAGACAGACACACUCUCCCUUUUGCUUUCCGGCUCUCUGGAUCUGUCCUAGCAGGAGCAGUUAAAAGAAGGGCUUUUCCUGGGGUGCUUCCAGGGACUUGGGCCCUAGCACUUGGCUGUUCAGCCACUUUGGGCCAAGAUAGUGUCCCCACCAUGGUUACAGAAAGGCCAACAUUUACCCAAACCAGGGCUCCCUUCAGCUCUUUGAUGCCUUGGGUCCUGUCUGAGGCCCAGUACCAAAACCAGUCCCAAAUCUCCCAACCUGUCCUGCCUGGGUUGUGCCUUCCACCAGAAAGCUCAUAGGCACCCAUGCCCACCCGAAGGAUUCUUAGAAAGAGGUUGGUAUGGCUUGCUGUGGAGAUCUGCCUGCUCCUGGAGGGCGCACUCUCCUGCUGGCUGCCUCGCAGAUUCACUGUGGAAUUUAUGUGACUUCAGCAUACUUGCUCUGACCAUUUUCCCCUCACUUCAGGAUUUAUCGGCAACAGCCUUUAGUGGCUUAAUAACAGGAAUCCACUCUGGGGAGUUCAUCAUUAGGUUACAUGGUCCUUGUGUGGACAUCACAGAGUGACUUGCACAAACCUACACAGUACAAGUCAGUCACUUGGUGUGGCCUUUUUUCUUCCUCUUUAUUCUUUUUGGCAGUAACAGGAAUUGAACCUAGGUCUCAGCACUGGGUUGUGUCCCCAGUCUCUCUCCCUUCCUUUUUUCUUUGAGAUAAGGUCUCACUAGGUUACUGUUGUACAUGCAGGGCUCAAACAUGUAAUCUCUUGCCUCAGCCAGUAGGGGAUUACAAGCAUGCACUCUGUGCAUCCUUUCAAUGCAAUCAAAACAUGCAGUAAAUACAAGAUAUAUGAAACUGCUGUCCGUGUAACAUGGCAUACCAUUUUAUAAGUAGAAA